RNAcentral lists this ribosomal RNA (949 nucleotides) under Ganoderma lobatum. Its description in RNAcentral is "LSU rRNA". It matches the Rfam family "Eukaryotic large subunit ribosomal RNA", at positions 1 to 963 of the family's 3401-position model. The record is from RNAcentral. Lineage: Eukaryota; Fungi; Basidiomycota; Agaricomycetes; Polyporales; Polyporaceae.
GCAUAUCUACUAAAGCAGGAGGGAAAAAGAAGAACUAUCAAGGAUUCCCUAGUAACUGCGAGUGAAGCGGGAAAAGCUCAAAUUUUAAAAUCUGGCGGUCUGUGGCCGUCCGAGUUGUAGUCUGGAGAAGUGCUUUCCGCGCUGGACCGUGUAUAAGUCUCUUGGAACAGAGCGUCAUAGGGGGUGAGAAUCCCGUCUUUGACACGGACUACCAGUGCUUUGUGAUGCGCUCUCAAAGAGUCGAGUUGUUUGGGAAUGCAGCUCAAAAUGGGUGGUGAAUUCCAUCUAAAGCUAAAUAUUGGCGAGAGACCGAUAGCGAACAAGUACCGUGAGGGAAAGAUGAAAAGCACUUUGGAAAGAGAGUUAAACAGUACGUGAAAUUGCUGAAAGGGAAACGCUUGAAGUCAGUCGCGUUGUCCGGAACUCAGCCUUGCUUUUUUGCUUGGUGCACUUUCCGGAUGACGGGUCAGCAUCGAUUUUGACCGUCGGAAAAGGGCUGGAGUAAUGUGGCACCUCCGGGUGUGUUAUAGACUCCGGUCGCAUACGGCGGUUGGGAUCGAGGAACGCAGCGCGCCGCAAGGCAGGGGUUCGCCCACUUUCGCGCUUAGGAUGCUGGCAUAAUGGCUUUAAACGACCCGUCUUGAAACACGGACCAAGGAGUCUAACAUACCUGCAAGUGUUUGGGUGGAAAACCCGAGCGCGUAAUGAAAGUGAAAGUUGAGAUCCCUGUCGUGGGGAGCAUCGACGCCCGGACCAGACGUUCUCUGACGGAUCCGCGGUAGAGCAUGUAUGUUGGGACCCGAAAGAUGGUGAACUAUGCCUGAAUAGGGGUGAAGCCAGAGGAAACUCUGGUGGAGGCUCGUAGCGAUUCUGACGUGCAAAUCGAUCGUCAAAUUUGGGUAUAGGGGCGAAAGACUAAUCGAAACCAUCUAGUAGCUGGCUCUGGCGA